GCCGAAGUGGUGGAACUGGCAGACGCGCCGGACUCAAAAUCCGGUGGCCGAUGAGGCCGUGCGGGUUCGACUCCCGCCUUCGGCACCA
This 88-nucleotide transfer RNA is filed under the name Caldanaerovirga acetigignens. RNAcentral describes it as "tRNA_Leu_CAA". It matches the Rfam family "tRNA". Rfam says of the family: Transfer RNA (tRNA) molecules are approximately 80 nucleotides in length. Their secondary structure includes four short double-helical elements and three loops (D, anti-codon, and T loops). RNAcentral also lists the same sequence under 1 other name. The record is from RNAcentral. Lineage: Bacteria; Bacillati; Bacillota; Clostridia; Thermosediminibacterales; Thermosediminibacteraceae.